UUACUUUUCUUAUUAAGUAUACUGAAUUCUUCUUCGAUCCUUAGCGAAUUUGGUGUUGUUUUUGGCUAGAACUGAUAAUUAAUUUCUUGUUUUGGGAGGAAAUGGAAGGCAAGGAAUAUAGAGGAGCAGGGACUGUUUCCAGCUUCUCCUUUUUCUUUCAUGUUUGGAACGGAUGGACAGGGAGUAUAUAAUGAGAGUGCUGAAAAUAUUUUAAGUUUAUUAGCUCCUAACUCAAUAGCCUUGCUUAGUAUCAUACCUAAUACUCUAACAUACUAACACCUCCAGCUUAAGCUAAUGUGCCAGUCUUAUACUUGCAG
RNAcentral lists this long non-coding RNA (317 nucleotides) under Panax ginseng (ginseng). RNAcentral's name for it is "long non-coding RNA (PGIN_LNC007299)". The record is from RNAcentral. Lineage: Eukaryota; Viridiplantae; Streptophyta; Magnoliopsida; Apiales; Araliaceae.